UACUACGGGAGGCAGCAGUGGGGAAUAUUGGACAAUGGGGGCAACCCUGAUACCAGCCAUGCCGCGUGUGUGAAGAAGGCCCUCGGGUUGUAAAGCACUUUCAGCGAGGAAGAACGCCAAGCGGUUGAUACCCGCUAGGAAAGACAUCACUCGCAGAAGAAGCACCGGCUAACUCCGUGCCAGCAGCCGCGGUAAUACGGAGGGUGCAAGCGUUAAUCGGAAUUACUGGGCGUAAAGCGCGCGUAGGUGGCUUGAUAAGCCGGUUGUGAAAGCCCCGGGCUCAACCUGGGAACGGCAUCCGGAACUGUCAAGCUAGAGUGCAGGAGAGGAAGGUAGAAUUCCCGGUGUAGCGGUGAAAUGCGUAGAGAUCGGGAGGAAUACCAGUGGCGAAGGCGGCCUUCUGGACUGACACUGACACUGAGGUGCGAAAGCGUGGGUAGCAAACAGGAUUAGAUACCCUGGUAGUCCACGCCGUAAACGAUGUCGACCAGCCGUUGGGUGCCUAGCGCACUUUGUGGCGAAGUUAACGCGAUAAGUCGACCGCCUGGGGAGUACGGCCGCAAGGUUAAAACUCAAAUGAAUUGACGGGGGCCCGCACAAGCGGUGGAGCAUGUGGUUUAAUUCGAUGCAACGCGAAGAACCUUACCUACUCUUGACAUCCUGCGAAUUUGGUAGAGAUACCUUAGUGCCUCCGGGAACGCAGAGACAGGUGCUGCAUGGCUGUCGUCAGCUCGUGUUGUGAAAUGUUGGGUUAAGUCCCGUACGAGCGCAACCCUUGUCCUAUUUGCAGCGCGUAAUGGCGGACUCUAGAGACUGCGUGACACCGGAGAAGUGGGACGACGUCAGUCAUCAUGCCCUUACAGUAGGCUACCACACUGCUUACAAUGUCGGUACAAAGGGUUGUCUGAGCUCCCCCGCGAGUA
Molecule: ribosomal RNA, 923 nt
Filed under: uncultured bacterium
Lineage: Bacteria
Description: bacterial SSU rRNA
Rfam family: Bacterial small subunit ribosomal RNA
Source: RNAcentral